AACGAACGUUAGCGGCGCGCCUAACACAUGCAAGUCGCACGAGAAAGGGCUUCGGCCCCGGUAAAGUGGCGCACGGGUGAGUAACACGUAGGCAAUCUGCCCUUGAGUGGUGGAUAACCCUCCGAAAGGAGGGCUAAUACAGCAUGAGACCACGGUAUCCACGGAUGCUGCGGUCAAAGUAGGCCUCUCCACGGAAGCUUACGCUUGAGGAUGAGCCUGCGGCCCAUCAGCUUGUUGGUAAGGUAAUGGCUUACCAAGGCUAAGACGGGUAGCUGGUCUGAGAGGAUGAACAGCCACACUGGAACUGAGACACGGUCCAGACUCCUACGGGUGGCAG
Molecule: ribosomal RNA, 337 nt
Filed under: uncultured Pseudomonadota bacterium
Lineage: Bacteria; Pseudomonadati; Pseudomonadota
Description: bacterial SSU rRNA
Rfam family: Bacterial small subunit ribosomal RNA
Source: RNAcentral